CGAGACUCAGUGAAAUUGAAAUCGCCGUGAAGAUGCGGUGUACCCGCGGCUAGACGGAAAGACCCCGUGAACCUUUACUAUAGCUUGACACUGAACAUUGAAUUUUGAUGUGUAGGAUAGGUGGGAGCCUUUGAAGCAGUGACGCCAGUCAUUGUGGAGGCGACCUUGAAAUACCACCCUUUAACGUUUGAUGUUCUAACGAAGAUGACGAAACGUGGUCUCGGACAGUGUCUGGUGGGUAGUUUGACUGGGGCGGUCUCCUCCCAAAGCGUAACGGAGGAGCACGA
RNAcentral lists this ribosomal RNA (287 nucleotides) under Haemophilus influenzae. Its description in RNAcentral is "partial 23S ribosomal RNA". It matches the Rfam family "Bacterial large subunit ribosomal RNA", at positions 2027 to 2313 of the family's 2925-position model. The record is from RNAcentral. Lineage: Bacteria; Pseudomonadati; Pseudomonadota; Gammaproteobacteria; Pasteurellales; Pasteurellaceae.